Long non-coding RNA from Callithrix jacchus (white-tufted-ear marmoset), 1666 nucleotides. RefSeq lists it as uncharacterized. NCBI's taxonomy places the organism in Eukaryota, Metazoa, Chordata, Mammalia, Primates, Cebidae. The record is from RefSeq and is a predicted model, not a curated record.
UCUGUUCCAUCUGAGCCCUAGCUGACCAGAGCCUUCCCUCUCCCUCUGUCCUGCCACGGCCUCCCCCUCCCAACCCUGGCUUGGCUCUGGGGGUGCUCAGUGGAAUAUGCAAAUGUCUCCCUAACCAGCUGGUGUCUGCCUCCCAGAAACACAUGUUCUUAAGCCUCUCUGCCUCACCAGGGAGGGGGGACCAGAGCCUCUGUCCAUGCCACAGCCCGGAGAGGACAUAUUACCGAGCAAGGAACAGCACAGCAAGCAGAUGGAGAAGGACUGCUAGCCACGGGGGAGGAAGGCAGGAGAGGAGCAGCAGAUGUUGGGAAACGCUUUCUGUGAAAGACCAGAAAAUGCAUAUUUAGGUACUGAGGAUUCUACCAUCUCUGUCAUGACUGCUCAACUCUGCUGUUGUACUACGAAAGCCCUUGGGCCAAAGUGCCGUCUCUCCCAUCUAUGUAGCCUCAAUCUCCACCCAGAGAGGCACCUUCUUGUUCAACCUGUGUUCUACUGCCUUUGUCCUUAAAACUGUAAGACCACUUUGGAGGGCCUUGCGCCUUAGGGAUGGUGAGGAGCCAUCCUUCAUCUCCUGUCAGAAACCCACAAAACUUCACAAAACCCACAGUAGCCUCUGCUCUGCCAUCAGAGAAUGCCCUGCCCAGUUCUGCCAUAUCAGAGCGGCGGCUUUGCUCCCCGGCGCCUGCCCCAGCAAGGUCUGGGGUGCAAUUUCUUCUACAUCUCUUCUCCCACAUCCAGAGGUGACCUCCAGAUCCUGAGAGGCAACAGGUGUCACUCUAGAGGGCAGGAACCUCCUGUCUCCUGGCAGGCCUGGUAUAUCCCGAUAUCCCUUGUUCUCUGCCCAUAAAGCCACCAACAGAGGCUAUCCGCGCCCUGCCUCAGCAAGAAGACGCCAAGUUGCCUUCUACUCCUGCUGAGAGGAGAUCAAACUCUUGCCGAGUGCCCCCAAGGGGCUUCCGGCUCCUCCUUUCUGGGCCUCCUCAGUUGGACUGGAUCCCACAUUGGCACUUACCAGAAUGAGAGAGGGAUCUGCUGCCUGGCCCCCCAGCGGGGAUCCCCGACCUGAAUCAGCCACAUCCAGCCAAGCCACUGGGGUUUAUGAGCCAUCUGGCUUUGAAGGUGAGCCCGCUCCCUGUCCCCUUCACAGGCUGUGUCCUCUCAGCCCUGGCCAGGAGUCGCUGCCCCCGCAGUCUAGCUAGGUCACCACCAGCCCACAGUUUGGCUCAGCUGGAAAGCAGGCACCAACACGGAGUUGGAAGUGCAGAUUGAUCGAAGGUGAUUCCUGGGAAAGAUCAAGGGGGAGGGGCAGCAGGGGGAGCAGUAAAAGCCUUCAGGUGGUGAUGAGGGUGUGGGAAGUAGAAAAGUUCCUUUUUAAAGUUUCCUUUCUUGUUAAAGAAUAAGUGUGCUAAUAACUUUGUUAAGCCCUAACCUAUGUAGCUGUUAGGCAUGCCAUGCUUACAGGCACAUAGUACAGUCUAAGUCCUUGUACUUUAACCAAGAUAUCUGUGCUGGACGUGCUCACAGCCAUGUCCCAGCUCUCCAUUGCUUCCACCUGCUUAGAAAAGUUUUAAGUUGUUAGCCAAUCGGGUGUUAGUUUAGAUUGUGAGGUCUGGCUCCAGCCAACGGAGAUUAGACACAGCAGUCAGGACGACCCCAA